AAACUUCUUCUUCACUCUCUCUCAAAACUUCCCAAUCGCUAACAAACUUCACCUAAAAUCGACAAUCAGAGAGACGAAAAUCGAACAAACAACAACAAAAACAGCAUCAACGAUGGAUUCAGAGAGUUCUAAGAGAUCUACAAGAAGCCAGAAGCAUAAAGAAACAAAACAUGAUGACGAUUUCGAAGGUUUGUUAAGGAUCUGUAAACGAACAGAUUUCUAGGGUUUUAAUAUGUCUAAACUGAUUCAUGUUCUGCAUUUUAUUAAACAGAUCGAUCGUUGUGUUUUUUAUGAAA
Helianthus annuus (common sunflower) is the source of this 296-nucleotide long non-coding RNA. RefSeq lists it as uncharacterized. NCBI's taxonomy places the organism in Eukaryota, Viridiplantae, Streptophyta, Magnoliopsida, Asterales, Asteraceae. The transcript has 2 exons. The record is from RefSeq and is a predicted model, not a curated record.